RNAcentral lists this long non-coding RNA (251 nucleotides) under Elaeis guineensis (African oil palm). RNAcentral's name for it is "long non-coding RNA (EGUI_LNC052312)". Lineage: Eukaryota; Viridiplantae; Streptophyta; Magnoliopsida; Arecales; Arecaceae. The record is from RNAcentral.
AUGUUGCCUCAUUAUAACAUUUGGGUGUUUCUUAUAAGUGUCAAACUUUAUAGUUAGCCUUCUCAAUUUGGAAGCUAAAGUGCCUCCAAAGGUUUCCUUAAGAGCUUCCCACAACACAUGGGCAAUCUCAUACUUCUCACAUUCAUACAUUAUGUUAUUUUCCAUGCUACUCAGCCACCAUUCUUUUGGAAGUAUUUGCCAUGAUUAAUUCAACUACAUAGAGACAUAUGCACAUACUAUCAAUUAGCAAC